RNAcentral lists this long non-coding RNA (1003 nucleotides) under Homo sapiens (human). RNAcentral describes it as "non-protein coding GATA6-AS1:22". The record is from RNAcentral. Lineage: Eukaryota; Metazoa; Chordata; Mammalia; Primates; Hominidae.
AAACUUUCUCCGACCCUAUCUCGGGAUGCUACGGCUCAGGUCGUGGUGGUUUCGGGAACCUCAAGACAACAUUCCCCAGCUGACCUUUGGGAACUUUAACUCGGGUCGUCAUGUACGGAAAGGUAGUCUAUGGGGUACGCAGAAUGGAAAAGGGCUUCCACAUCAGUCGUGUCCGAGGACGCUCUCCAACUUUUGAUGUCCCUGGAGAGUUUCUGAUAUUUCCCUGGAGAGUUUCAGAAAGGAUUUCUUCCGACAGACGUGACCCCAGAAGGCUGCCGAGGGAGACUUUAGGACAAGAGGCGUUGUUUUUUUAGGGAAGGAAGAGGAGCCUGUGCAGAGUUGAACUGGGGUGGAGAGGUGCCUUGUAAAGUAUGGUUUCCAGAGAUGUUUCAGCGUGGCCGCAUUUGGAAAAGGCUGAAGGUAGAAAACUCUGGAAUGGAGAGGCUGGCGACUGGAGCAGGAUCCAGGGGCUUUAAAUUUUAACCUGAAUGCGAUCGAAUGCGCGACUCCCAGAAGAGAUAGCCAGGCGUCCGCCCGGCCGCUCAACCCCCGCCAGGACUCGGAAUGCCUUGCUUUUGGUUCUUUUCUACAAGGAUGUCUGCGUGGAUAUCCCUGGACACUCGAUACCCCCCGGGGACCUGCUUUUCCCGCAGCUCCGCAGACGCGGCGGGAGGGCGCGCUGGCCCCGGCGCUGCUGGGACAGAGGUGAGCAGCGGGGUGGACAUUGACCGAUUCGACAACGUUCGGGCUCUAAGGGCUCGGGAAGGGACCCGGCAUUUUACCCUCCAGAUUCCCAAUCUAUUUUUAAAAAUAAUGUUCAAAACAUAUGGGAAAAAUAAGUGAUUGCUCCUUUUCAUGGUCACAGAUUGUAUUUAUUUUUUCAGACUGGUUUUCCAACCUAACGAGGGAAUGGGUAGUGAAUGUUGUUGUUGUUGUUGUUGUUUAUGUUGGUUAAUUUCGAAAUAAAACUGUUUAACUCGUACAGUUGAUUCAGACAGAAAAC